UUACGGCCACACCAUACUGAAACACUGGCUCUCGUGCGAUCAUCAAAGUUAAGCAACGUCGAGUCUGGUCAGUACCUAGAUGGGUGCUCGCUUGGGAAGACCAGAUGCUGUAA
Molecule: non-coding RNA, 113 nt
Organism: Acanthosepion pharaonis
Lineage: Eukaryota; Metazoa; Mollusca; Cephalopoda; Sepiida; Sepiidae
Source: the annotation of a GenBank genome assembly